GUGCACAUUUCAGCAGCACAUACACUAAAAUUGGAAUGAUACAGAGAGGAGUAACAUGGCCCCUGUGCAAGCAUGACACACAAAUUCGUGAAGCAUUCCAUAUUUUU
This 107-nucleotide small nuclear RNA is filed under the name Carlito syrichta (Philippine tarsier). The record is from RNAcentral. Lineage: Eukaryota; Metazoa; Chordata; Mammalia; Primates; Tarsiidae.